This 259-nucleotide non-coding RNA is filed under the name Tumebacillus flagellatus. Its description in RNAcentral is "T-box sequence". It matches the Rfam family "T-box leader". From Rfam's summary of the family: Uncharged tRNA acts as the effector for transcription antitermination of genes in the T-box leader family. T-boxes are found upstream of many aminoacyl-tRNA synthetase genes and some amino acid biosynthetic genes usually in Gram-positive bacteria. Lineage: Bacteria; Bacillati; Bacillota; Bacilli; Caryophanales; Alicyclobacillaceae. The record is from RNAcentral.
CAUGCGACGUUGAACGGGAAGAGUAGCGAUUGGAAACUUUACCAGAGAGCCGGGCAGGGUGGAAACCGGCAAAGGGAACAAUCGGGAAAAUCACCCGGGAGUCGUGGACUGAACCCGCCUCUUUUUCAUGGUUUUUUCAGCAAGGGCGGUAGUAAGUUUCACCGUGCUGGCCUACGUUACAGGGCUCAAUGAGCGGCCGUUUUUUCCAAAGCGGCAAUCAGGGUGGUACCACGGGAAACCAAAGUCUCUCGUCCCUUUG